RNAcentral lists this small RNA (2266 nucleotides) under Oryza sativa Japonica Group (Japanese rice). RNAcentral describes it as "sRNA Os01g0810401". Lineage: Eukaryota; Viridiplantae; Streptophyta; Magnoliopsida; Poales; Poaceae. The record is from RNAcentral.
GCCGCCCUGCCACACUCUCUCUCCUCCCAGAAUCCCCCCAAUCUCCCACCAGCCAUGGAUGCCGCGGCGCUGCCCUGUUUCGAUCGGCGAUCCGCUUGCUUCGCCGCUAGCUCCCCGAGCCCUACUACGGCCGGGCGCGCGCCCGAGCGAGGAGGCAUCGCCGCGCGCGGAUCAUGGAUGGUAGGUCGGAUGGCCGGUGGCGGCUGCGGCGCCGACGACCGAAAGGCCGGCUAGGUUAUCCAAUACAAGCUAUCCAAAUUUCAAUGGUGCUGAACUGCUGCAUUUCGAAACAUGAAUUACAAGACUUGCUUAUUGAUAUUCUUACACUAGGAUGAUCCUGGGAUUCUGUUUGCCAUCAUAGUAGUUGCAUUUCACACCUUCCCAGGUUUACCAUCGAUGGUGUCAGUGGUGAGGUUUUCCAUCCGAACAAGCGAGUAAGCCUCAAAGGCGUUGAUGAGUGGUGGGAGCUCCGAGCUGUUUGUCUUGCACAGGGUGAAAGUUGUACCUGACUCAUGUAGGUACCGGUCCCUCAGGUACACGCUGUCCACCUGCAAGUAGGACGGUGAGAAGGCCUGGUGCAGCUCGUUGCCAUCACUAUAGAUUUGGAACGUCCGAUUUGGGCGGUUCUUUUCUAUCUCAGCAAAGUGGAAGAUCGGGAGAAGCUCCAGGCUCUGGCCAUUCAGGUUAUCACCGGCCGUUAUGCUGAUGUUGAGCCAUGAAAAACCGCUGUUGAUGGUGGAUGCCUUCUGGACGAUGAGUGUUGGCACCUGGAAGUUGUCAUUUCCUGGGAGCUUGUUCACUGUUUGGUUGGUGGUCAGGUUGAGCCAGGGAUAGGAGUAGCAUUGGGCUGCUUCCCAGAAACGAUCAAAGAGAUCAGUUGGAUAUCUGUAUCACCACGGCAACAUAAAUGGAGAAGCAAUUGAUACAGGGCACCUACGGUUGCAAUAUGGUAUAAUAAAAGAAACAGAAAAAAAAGAAUCUUCAUCUCACCUUGUGAUGAAAUCAUCGACUGCCCCAAAUCUCAUUCGAGUAAAGUAGCUUACAGACACAAAAAGAUUCAGGAAUGGGUACAUUGGAUCAUCCAAUUGCCGCAACUCCAAUGCAGAAAUGAAAGGGGUUCCUGAUCCAAAGUUUACCAGGCACACAUAUAUGAACUCGUCCGGAGCAACCGUGAGCACCUCUUUCCAGAUAGUGUCUGAUGAGUCCUGUUUUGUCAAGUUCACCGUUGUCCAGAAGUUGACGCCGAUGUGGAGUCCAAACAGAAAUAAGGAACCGUUCUCUGACGACCUGAGUCCAUCGUAGUUUCCCUUCUCAAGGUUUUCUCUUGCUCAUCGGUGGAUCCACUAAUUAGCUUUGGCACAACUUCAUGGUGUGUGCCGCCUUCAACGAAUUCAUGAUCAGCAUUUGUGUGGUCGUCCUCUACGUCAGGGGUCUACCCGGCGUCCAGUGCGUAUCAGGGUGGAUUCGUUGCAGCUUCUGGAAAAUAAUUCGUUCCAGGCAAAUGGAAAAAAAAACUGUGGUUUGUCAGCCGUGGGAGGUGUUUGACGGCUGAUAAUCUCCGGAAGCGUGGGUGGCCAAGUCAGACCUUCUGCCCACUUUGUCAGACAGUAGAAGAGACCUGCAAACAUUCUUUCGGUGGCUGCCUCUUUUCCCUUCAGAUAGGGGCGCAGGUCUGUUAACACUUCGGAAUUGCACCGGCUUUCGAUGGGGAUGACCUGGUAGCGUGGUGGCUUGCAAUUCGGAAGGAUUUCCAGAAGUUACUUCCUCCGUCCAACAAUAUUUAUCUCUCUAGUAUUAAAAAAUUAUCUUGAAAUAGUUGUCAUUUGGAAGUACCACUUAUCACAUCAACCACUUCCAAUUUAAAUUCCUCUCCAUGAUACCCCUAACCACUAUUCCACAUUUUAUUAAGGGUAUUAUAGUUUUUUUCUUCUAACCUUAGCACAUGCUAAAUAAUUUAGAAUGACAAGUAUUCUGGUAAAGAGUUAGUAUGCAGGAAAUGCGAUAGUCAUCCUGGUCGUCUGGCAAGUUUGGAAGGAGCGAAACGCUUUUCAGCAUAUAGCACAGCCUUUUCAGAAAUGCUCAACACCAGCAGAAGACAGCAUGCAUCUUGUAUUGUGUCCUGCUGGCUGCUGUGAGCCUGCAUAGUGUUUCUUUGUUCAGCUCGUAGCCCUCAGGGCAGGUAUCCCAUGAGAUCGUCGUGUAUCCUGUAUUCCCGCGUUUGUACCACUUGGUUUCAUAUGCUCUAAUAAGGCCCUGUUUAGUUCCC